This 762-nucleotide ribosomal RNA is filed under the name Hypogymnia imshaugii. RNAcentral's name for it is "mitochondrial SSU rRNA". It matches the Rfam family "Bacterial small subunit ribosomal RNA", at positions 388 to 1126 of the family's 1533-position model. The record is from RNAcentral. Lineage: Eukaryota; Fungi; Ascomycota; Lecanoromycetes; Lecanorales; Parmeliaceae.
CUUGCAUCAUUGUAAAAAUGAUGCAGGAUCGACUAUGUCGAAUAAAAUUCUAGGUAGAAUUAUGAUAAUGACAUUGUCUGCCUAUGUGUCUUGACCAAAUUACGUGCCAGCAGUCGCGGUAAUACGUAGAAGACUAGUGUUAUUCAUGUUUAAUCGGUUUAAAGGGUACCUAGACGGUAAAUCAAGCCUAAAAUUAAAUGAAGGGACUAAUUUACUAGAGUUACUUAUGAGGGGGUAUUAAAGUACUGCUGGUGUAGAGAUGAAAUUCUGUCAUACCUCUUUUCAAUAGAAAAACAAUGGCACAGGUAUAGGCGAAAGCAUCCCCUUAUGUGAUAACUGACGUUGAGGGACGAAGGCUUUGUGUAGCGAACAGGAUUAGAUACCCCAGUAGUCAAAGCAGAAAAUGAUGAAUGUCAUAGAUUAGAUAAAUAAGUUUAUUCUAUAAAUGAAAGUGUAAGCAUUCCACCUCAAGAGUAAUUUGGCAACAUUGGAACUGAAAUCAUUAGACCGUUUCUGAAACCAGUAGUGAAGUAUGUUGUUUAAUUUGAUGAUCCGCAAAAAACCUUACCACAAUUUGAAUAUUUAUAUUUUUUUAUUGUUUUCUUUUUAAUUUUCUUCUGAUUUGAUUUUUCUAAAGAAAAAAAGAAAAAGAGGCGAUAUGAUAUAUUUACAAGCGUUGCACGGCUGUCUUCAGUUAAUGUCGCGAGACUUUGGUUAGUUCCAUUAAAUUAACGUAAACCCUUACUUUAUUUUUAUAUAGAG